AAAAAUACGGGUGCACUUCUGU
RNAcentral lists this microRNA (22 nucleotides) under Canis lupus familiaris (dog). The record is from RNAcentral. Lineage: Eukaryota; Metazoa; Chordata; Mammalia; Carnivora; Canidae.